ACGGGUGAGUAACGCGUGGGUAAUCUGCCUCAUACAGGGGGAUAACAGUUAGAAAUGACUGCUAACACCGCCAUAAUAUAGCGAAACCGCAUGAUUUUGCUAUCAAAUAUUUAUAGGGUAUGAGAUGGGCCCGCGUCUGAUUAGCUAGUUGGUGGGGUAAAAGCCUACCAAGGCGACGAUCAGUAGCCGGCUUGAGAGAGUGACCGGCCACAUUGGGACUGAGACACGGCCCAAACUCCUACGGGAGGCAGCAGUGGGGAAUAUUGGACAAUGGGGGAAACCCUGAUCCAGCCGACGCCGCGUGAGUGAAGAAGUAUUUCGGUAUGUAAAGCUCUAUCAGCAGGGAAGAUAAUGACAGUACCUGACUAAGAAGCCCCGGCUAACUACGUGCCAGCCGCCGC
RNAcentral lists this ribosomal RNA (401 nucleotides) under uncultured bacterium. RNAcentral describes it as "bacterial SSU rRNA". It matches the Rfam family "Bacterial small subunit ribosomal RNA", at positions 102 to 518 of the family's 1533-position model. The record is from RNAcentral.